This 308-nucleotide ribosomal RNA is filed under the name uncultured bacterium. Its description in RNAcentral is "bacterial SSU rRNA". It matches the Rfam family "Bacterial small subunit ribosomal RNA", at positions 184 to 507 of the family's 1533-position model. The record is from RNAcentral.
AGUCGCAUGGCUCUAUGAAGAAAUGGUCCGCCGCUCCAGGAUGGUCUCGCGGCCUAUCAGCUUGUUGGUGAGGUAACGGCUCACCAAGGCAACGACGGGUAGCUGGUCUGAGAGGACGAUCAGCCACACUGGGACUGAGACACGGCCCAGACUCCUACGGGAGGCAGCAGCAGGGAAUAUUGCACAAUGGGCGAAAGCCUGAUGCAGCGACACCGCGUGCGGGAUGAAGGCCGUUCGGGUUGUAAACCGCUUUCAGGAGGGAACGAAAAUGACGGUACCUCCAGAAGAACGCCCCGGCCAACUACGUG